ACGUAGGUGGCAAGCGUUGUCCGGAUUUACUGGGCGUAAAGGAUGCGUAGGCGGAUGUUUAAGUGAGAUGUGAAAUACCCGAGCUCAACUUGGGUGCUGCAUUUCAAACUGGAUAUCUAGAGUGCAGGAGAGGAAAGCGGAAUUCCUAGUGUAGCGGUGAAAUGCGUAGAGAUUAGGAAGAACACCAGUGGCGAAGGCGGCUUUCUGAACUGUAACUGACGCUGAGGCAUGAAAGCGUGGGGAGCAAACAGGA
RNAcentral lists this ribosomal RNA (253 nucleotides) under uncultured prokaryote. RNAcentral's name for it is "partial 16S ribosomal RNA". It matches the Rfam family "Bacterial small subunit ribosomal RNA", at positions 525 to 777 of the family's 1533-position model. The record is from RNAcentral.